Molecule: ribosomal RNA, 109 nt
Filed under: Acanthosepion pharaonis
Lineage: Eukaryota; Metazoa; Mollusca; Cephalopoda; Sepiida; Sepiidae
Source: RNAcentral
UUACGGCCACAUCAUGCUGAAACACCGGUUCCCGUACGAUCACUGACGUUAAGCAACGUCGAACGCGGUCAGUAACUAGAUGGGCGACAGUUUGGGACUAUCAGGUGCU